GGAAUCUUAGACAAUGGGCGCAAGCCUGAUCUAGCCAUGCCGCGUGGGUGAUGAAGGCCUUAGGGUCGUAAAGCCCUUUCGCCGGGGAAGAUAAUGACGGUACCCGGUAAAGAAACCCCGGCUAACUCCGUGCCAGCAGCCGCGGUAAUACGGAGGGGGUUAGCGUUGUUCGGAAUGACUGGGCGUAAAGCGCGCGUAGGCGGAUCAGAAAGUUGGGGGUGAAAUCCCGGGGCUCAACCCCGGAAUGGCCUUCAAGACUCCUGGUCUUGAGUUCGAGAGAGGUGAGUGGAAUUCCGAGUGUAGAGGUGAAAUUCGUAGAUAUUCGGAGGAACACCAGUGGCGAAGGCGGCUCACUGGCUCGACACUGACGCUGAGGUGCGAAAGCGUGGGGAGCAAACAGGAUUAGAUACCCUUG
RNAcentral lists this ribosomal RNA (415 nucleotides) under uncultured Rubellimicrobium sp. RNAcentral describes it as "bacterial SSU rRNA". It matches the Rfam family "Bacterial small subunit ribosomal RNA", at positions 358 to 790 of the family's 1533-position model. Lineage: Bacteria; Pseudomonadati; Pseudomonadota; Alphaproteobacteria; Rhodobacterales; Roseobacteraceae. The record is from RNAcentral.